Molecule: ribosomal RNA, 465 nt
Filed under: uncultured bacterium
Lineage: Bacteria
Description: partial 16S ribosomal RNA
Rfam family: Bacterial small subunit ribosomal RNA
Source: RNAcentral
GAUGAACGCUGGCGGCGUGCUUAACACAUGCAAGUCGAACGGAAAGGCUCCUGCUUGCCGGGGUACUCGAGUGGCGAACGGGUGAGUAACACGUGGGUCAUCUGCCCUGCACUUCGGGAUAAGCCUGGGAAACUGGGUCUAAUACCGGAUAGGACCACAUUUUGGAUGGUGUGGUGGAAAGUUUUUCGGUGUGGGAUGAGCUCGCGGCCUAUCAGCUUGUUGGUGGGGUAAUGGCCUACCAAGGCGUCGACGGGUAGCCGGCCUGAGAGGGUGUACGGCCACAUUGGGACUGAGAUACGGCCCAGACUCCUACGGGAGGCAGCAGUGGGGAAUAUUGCACAAUGGGCGCAAGCCUGAUGCAGCGACGCCGCGUGGGGGAUGACGGCCUUCGGGUUGUAAACUCCUUUCGCUAGGGACGAAGCGCAAGUGACGGUACCUGGAGAAGAAGCACCGGCUAACUACGUG